RNAcentral lists this ribosomal RNA (460 nucleotides) under uncultured bacterium. RNAcentral describes it as "partial 16S ribosomal RNA". It matches the Rfam family "Bacterial small subunit ribosomal RNA", at positions 338 to 795 of the family's 1533-position model. The record is from RNAcentral.
CCUACGGGCGGCAGCAGUGAGGAAUAUUGGUCAAUGGCCGGAAGGCUGAACCAGCCAUGCCGCGUGCAGGUCAGUGCCCUUUGGGCGUUAAACUUCUUUUGUGCGGGAGCAAUAAUGGUCACGUGUGGCCAGACGAGAGUACCGUACGAAUAAGCAUCGGCUAACUCCGUGCCAGCAGCCGCGGUAAUACGGGGGAUGCAAGCGUGAUCCGGAUUUAUUGGGUUUAAAGGGUGCGUAGGCUGUGAGGUAAGUCAGCGGUGAAAUGCCCCCGCUCAACGGGGUGAAGUGCCAUUGAUACUGCCUUGCUGGAAUGCGGAUGCCGUGAGAGGAAUGUGUGGUGUAGCGGUGAAAUGCAUAGAUAUCACACAGAACACCGAUUGCGAAGGCAGCUCACGAAUCCGCGAUUGACGCUGAUGCACGAAAGCGUGGGUAUCAAACAGGAUUAGAUACCCCUGUAGUC